UGUCUGUCCUGGUGGAUCGUGCAGGAGACUGCUCCCAAAUCCAAUUAAUUCCUUCUGGAUGCAUUCAUUUGUCUAGUACAUCUGACGAGAAAGAGAGCCAGAAAAAGAGGUAGAGAGACCCCUAAGGUACAGUAUUUAGUGUGUAUCAAUUUACGCCCUAUUCCACAAGAGACAUUGGUAAUUAUUUCCAUCUCUCUCUCUGUCAGGGGAGCAGGGUCGUCUCCAGCUUUCCUCUGACAUGUCGGGCUGGGUAAUGAGAAAGAUAAGGCAUGGUCAUUACACACGCCAUCCCAAAGAUGAGACGCUGGCCCCCAGAUGGCCGCAAUCAGCCUGACACCACACUGGGAAUAUUAUGUGAGGUGUGUUUGAGGUGUCCCCGUUUUUAGUAAAAAACAAAAGAAGUCCAGUCACCCCUAGAGUCUGAUGGAUCCUGGGAGAUAAUAAAAAAUCAACUGCUUCACUACUUUUGUAAGUUUGACAAAGAUCAAAUCUGCUUGAAAUACAGACAAAAACAAACAAGCAAAAGUACAGUUCUGUGAGUCUGCUGUAAUAAAAUUAGACUGAGGUUUGAUAGGAAAUUAAUUUCCUAUCAAACUUCACCUGGAUCCAACUGGAUUUUUCUGUGUUAUCUCUGAAAUGUCUAACUCAAAAUACUUCUAAUACAUAAUGUGUUUUGUUUCCCCUGCAAUAAAAAUAACAUACGUUUUUCAGCUAGUGUAGCCUACUCAAGUACAAGUUUUAGGUCAUGUACUUAAGUAUAUCCAGAUUCUGUUGAUUAUACUAACACUUGAUUAUACUUACUAGACUAUACUUACAAUUCUACUCCACUACAAUUCAAAAAGCAAAACAUAAUACCCAUACAGUAUUUGCAUAACUUUGUGUUUCCCCUUUUCUCUCCCAUCUCUUCACCCCUCAUGUACAUUUUGUGACCCUUUGGAGGGACCCGACCCCUAUGUUGGGCAAACAAAAUCAUUAAACUACCUAUCUGUAUGUAAGGUACGUAUGUAACAACUCACCUGUAACUCAUCUUACAAAAUCAUACAAUAACACAUCAGUUACAAGGACAAUAUUUCUGCAGAGCACUUUUACCUGAAGUGCAUUUUCCUAAUAAUAUUAUUUAUGUUUGCUUAAAUAUAUUUAAAAUGCAAGACUUUAACUUGUAACGGGCUGGUUUUAGAUUGCUGCAUGGGUUGUUUUACAGAAACAAAGGAUCUGAAUACAUUCCCCUGUGUUCAACAAUAGUAACUUACUUCUGCUUAAUGAAAAUAUAAUACGUUCUUCCCAUGCCAUCUGAGGUUAUCCCUGUUUACAGCAGCCACGACGUUUGGGUGUAUUUGCACAGUGUGGGAGCAGGAAAGGGUUUAAUUUAUACUGUUACUACACAAGUAGCACAUCUGAGUCCCCAAGAAUAUAACAGCGAUAACAUACUGUAUAAGAUAAACAUACCAUAAAGUGAGAAGAGACCACUGCUCACUGCUGAGCUGAUACAUUACAAGUCCCUGGGAGGAUAUUGUUGGAAUAAUAUAGAAUAUUAUACUGAUAAGAGAGGAGAUAGAAAUACCAUUAAGUCCAUAUAAACGAGCCUCUGAACAUCAGAGACGUCCUCACAGUCCCUACAGGGACAAUAUUGAAGCUUUAUUGUGUUUUUUUUGUCGCACGCUGCCGGUGAAGUUGAAGGCGGGACACAAAGUCAUAAGGCAUGCACAGACAAAGAAAUAUACAAACACCGCUGUCAUGGCAUGCGCUCCAACUUUGUUUCAUUCAUUUCGACCAGUUGCGCUGCCGCCGUCUUUGCAGAUUUGGAGGGUCGAAUAAAAAACCCAGAGAGCAGGAAAGUAAUCUUCCCAUAGAAGUUUGGAGCUAAAAAGUUUGAGGAGUGAGACUUUAAGUUUUCCUGAGUGUGUCGGCGUUUUGAGUGGAGACAAAGGAACAGGAGCUGCACCCGUGAUGUCAAUGCACAAGGUUCGGAAAAAGUGGACCCAGCGAGAGUUGGAAGGAAGCGGGACUUUGGCAGGUUGACUCGCCCUCAAAGCCAUGAGACCCUCCCUUGCCUCGGAGGCCAGGCAGCCUCCCUGCAAGGCAGCUCCAGGAAACAUAGUGAAUCGGUGGCCGCUACGUGCAUACAUUAACUGUGAUGCAGAGGCUAACGUGGAGGGUGAAAAGUAUGCAAUUCGCUCACAAGGACAGCAGAUGGAGAGGAAGUUGUCUAUCGCGGCCAUGACAGUAUAGGCAGGUAGCCCUCUCUAUGGCAAACACAAAGACGCCAACAAUAGAUUCGUCUGUCAGACUCUGACGAGCAGAGGAGAGGAAAAAGGCUCCUUUAUGCUUUGUUGUGUACAACAAUAAUCAGUGUGGCACAGAAGAGGAGUAGGUAAAGAUGAGCGUAAAGAAAUGUGUGAGCAGUGUUUUCCAAGGACAGAUAAAUAGAUUGAAAAGGACUUGUGAACAUAAGUGAAAUAUAUCACAUUAAUUAUUUUCAAUGUAUUUGUUUUUUUUAUUUAUGCAUGCAUUGUACUGUGCACGUGUGUGUAUGUGUGCGAGCAGAAGUGUGUGUUAAAAGCAGGCCUAAGGGGAAUGAAAUUCUAGUCAGUGAGCUCCAUGCCAGAGCUAAAUUACACAAGCCAUCCAUGAUUUCAUGCUUCACUACAUUACUUCUCCUUUUUCCUCUGCUCUCUGCACCCUCUCCCCUCCUCUCUCUGUCUCAUUUACCUCUGCUUUAACCCCGCAUGGAUCUUAUCUGGUUAAAGAGCAAAAAGAGGUGAACCACACAGCCAUGCGGCAUGAAUAUUUCAUCUGUGUUUGGAUUACCAUUUUCUCCAAAGAUUCAUUGUUCAAUGUAUAAUACAUGCAGCAUCGCACCUCGGCGCCUAGAUCACAACCUCUGCCCUUCUAAUCACAGGCAAAGCAUGCCCUCACCUAAGCCCAUCUUGCCAACAGUGUGUGUGCAUGUGUGUAUCCCUGUGUCCAUGUGUGAGUUAGGAUGGUGGGUUCUGUGUAGGUGGAUGCCUGUGUACAGUAAGUGCAUGUAUGCUGACAGACUUGUAGUUUUGUGUGAUCGCACGUAUGAGCGCGCGCGUGUGUGUGUGUGUGUACGGAGCCAGGGGUUAGAGCGAGGCUAAGACCGGCUCAUCUUUCAAACACACACACACACACAGUCCUCUACCCUCAGGCUGGAUUAGAUGAUGAGGUGGGAGAGUGAGUGAGAUUGGAAAGGAAAGUAAAAAAAUGUGUUGGUAGGAGGGAGAAAGAGAGUGAGUAACAGAUUAGGAGAGAAAUUCGAGUCUUUUGGCUGCUGGCGCGGCUCCAGCUUUAAGUUGCAGCUGUAAUAUUCUUUCAAAUGAUCUACCUCCUUUUGGAUAUACUCCAGUGUGUGUGUGAUUUUGUCCGACCUACACCAUUUGGCUGUUUAAGGGCUCGCUUUUCCCGUCAUCUCCUCCCAUCUUUCUAUCGCUAAAUGAGCAGUGAAUAGAGAAGCAGCAGAGGCUGUAUAGAUUUGAAUGGCUCACUCGGUGGGUGUCUGAUGGAGAAAAUGGGUGCAUGAGCUAUUCUGACCUAAACCACCCGUAUCUCUUCAAAGCCGUAGAAAUGGGCUCUUUUAAAUGUAUAGUUUCUCCAAAAUUACCAUACAAGUAAUUCAAAACAGUGAGGCUCAGGCAGACAGCGACUAUCUCAAGAGCAUUUGACCCGAGUGUAUCUGAAAAAUCUCAGCACAUUUAUCUUU
This is a long non-coding RNA of Scatophagus argus, 3721 nucleotides long. RefSeq lists it as uncharacterized. The record is from RefSeq and is a predicted model, not a curated record. The transcript has 4 exons. Lineage: Eukaryota; Metazoa; Chordata; Actinopteri; Scatophagidae.